This 524-nucleotide ribosomal RNA is filed under the name uncultured bacterium. Its description in RNAcentral is "partial 16S ribosomal RNA". It matches the Rfam family "Bacterial small subunit ribosomal RNA", at positions 28 to 523 of the family's 1533-position model. The record is from RNAcentral.
GACGAACGCUGGCGGCGUGCUUAACACAUGCAAGUCGAACGAGACGAUUGAAAGCUAGCUUUCGAAAGUCGAGUGGCAAACGGGUGAGUAACGCGUAGACAACCUGCCUUUGAGAUGGGGACAACAGUUCGAAAGGACUGCUAAUACCGAAUGUUGUAUAUUUUCCACAUGGAAGAUAUAUUAAAGAUGGCCUCUAUUUAUAAGCUAUCGCUCAAAGAUGGAUCUGCGUCCGAUUAGCUGGUUGGUGGGGUAACGGCCUACCAAGGCGACGAGCAGUAGCCGGUCUGAGAGGAUGAACCGCCACAUUGGGACUGAGACACGGCCCAGACUCCUACGGGAGGCAGCAGUGGGGAAUCUUCCACAAUGGACGAAAGUCUGAUGGAGCAACGCCGCGUGAGUGAAGAAGGGUUUCGGCUCGUAAAGCUCUGUUGUCGGGGACGAAUGUGCAGUAUUUGAAUAAAGUACUGCAAUGACGGUACCUGACGAGGAAGCCACGGCUAACUACGUGCCAGCCGCCGCCGUAA